Molecule: long non-coding RNA, 1507 nt
Filed under: Mytilus galloprovincialis (Mediterranean mussel)
Lineage: Eukaryota; Metazoa; Mollusca; Bivalvia; Mytilida; Mytilidae
Source: RNAcentral
GAUUAAUACUGUUUAGAGACAAGUUCUCCAAUUUUUGUUAUCAAUGAAUACAGUAAGCUAAAUGCUCAUAGAAUGAACUAAAAAAGUUAAUUAUUGAAUUUACCUUGGUAAAUGUGGUUAUGAUGAAACUUCCUUUAAUGUAACAAAACAAUUUUAUUCGCUUUAUGCAUUUGCAUGCACACUUAUAUUUUGCAUGUAUGGUAGAUGAUCGUAAAUAGAACAAACAUAUACAUGCAUACAAUAGUAUGAACUAAAAUGGGAACCUGUUUUAAAUCAAAUGUAGUUUUGAAGCUGUAUUUCUGUGUUUAAAGAUAGAAUGGAAACCAUUGGAGUAUAUAUCUUGGAUAUAACUGUAUUAUAUUGAAGCUGGAAAACCUAACAUUGGUUUUUGGACAGUGCUCAGUAAAUGGAUAUUUGUGUCAGUAAAACAAAGUAGGCAAAGUUAAACAUGCAUAACAUUUAUCAAACACCAGACUUGUUGGCCAAAUAUAUGCUUCAGAACAAAAUACUGUUUGAUGAAAAUGUUUAAUUUCUGAUGCUUCGUCUGCUUAUUUGGUCAUCUCAUACCACUAUAUUCUUGUUUUCAAAAUGGCAGCUCCUCAAAGAUAUUGGUACAUUUGUAGACCAUUUAAUCUAAUACCUCAAAAUUGGCCAAGAAAAAUUAUGAUUACAAAUUUAUUGCAUUGUACACAAAAUAAUGGUAGAAUGUUUUGUUUGAUUUUUUAAAUGUAGGUUAUUAAUCACUUUCCAAACGUAAGACUAAAGUAAAUGUUUAAAGGGUAACGUUUUCAAGCUGCAGAAUAUGCAAAAUUGUCUUAUUUUGAACAAAACAUAAUAAAGUGACCAGAAGGGGAACAAAAAUAUAAUUUGGAAUUGAAAAAUUAGGAAAUUGCUUUAAAUAAAUUAAUUCAAGGGAAAAUUGUGCCUUCUAACAUGUUUAUUGUUAUAUAUCAAAGUAAGUAGAUUUACAUUACAGUCAGUUAUGAAAAUAGAUAAUCUGAGCUAUCUCCCCUAAAUCAAAUUGUAAAGAAUUUUUAUAAAUUAGAAUUUCUGUAUGCAAAACAAUAUAUUUUUGUAAGUAAUAAAAUUUAUACUAUAUAAUUGUUUGCUAAUUUUGGUAAAUUUCUAUACAAAUCGUAUGAGGUGCAAGAUGGUGACGUGAAUUUACCAAAUUUGAAAUAAAGAUUUUUGCUGUGUAUUUUAAGAGAUUAAUUGCUCCAAAUUUAAAAAUGAGCUUCCUGAUAUGCUAUUUUUAGCUGAGUGUAGAUAUUUAGUAGUGGAUAUGAAAUGUAUAGCUUUUUAUAAAUGCCUAAUUCCCCUCAUCAAUAUGACAGUGCUAUCAAUUAUUGAAUUAGCUUUCUAUCAAUUCAUACUUUACUAAUAGUGUGCUGUGUAAAAUUUUGUAUGAUUGUGAUACAUGCUAUUGUUAUUGUUUUCCCAGUCAGAGUUUGUUCUUUGUUUUCUUUUUCUUUCAUGCUACAAUAAAUUAAUAAGCUUUUUAUGAGUG